AAAUUGGGAAACUCAUCAAAUUUUUUAGAAAUACCGAGACAUACUUGUCAGUUGAUGGCGGGCCCCACGCCGAAAGGCGUUGACUUUUGUCGCAGGCGGAUUACAAAGACUGGCGAGACCUCAAAACCUGUCAUCCGGAGUUUCGUCACAUUCCUUUGAUGUGGACUUUU
Molecule: small RNA, 170 nt
Filed under: human gut metagenome
Also listed under: 1 other name
Description: Bacteroidales-1 6S-Bacteroidales RNA suggested
Rfam family: Bacteroidales-1 6S-Bacteroidales RNA suggested
Source: RNAcentral